RNAcentral lists this ribosomal RNA (269 nucleotides) under uncultured Dialister sp. Its description in RNAcentral is "partial 16S ribosomal RNA". It matches the Rfam family "Bacterial small subunit ribosomal RNA", at positions 103 to 354 of the family's 1533-position model. Lineage: Bacteria; Bacillati; Bacillota; Negativicutes; Veillonellales; Veillonellaceae. The record is from RNAcentral.
CGGGUGAGUAACACGUAAACAACCUGCCUUCAAGAUGGGGACAACAGACGGAAACGACUGCUAAUACCGAAUACGAUCCGAAAGUCGCACGACAUUCGGAUGAAAGGGUGGCCUAUCGAAGAAGCUAUCGCUUGAAGAGGGGUUUGCGUCCGAUUAGGUAGUUGGUGAGGUAACGGCCCACCAAGCCGACGAUCGGUAGCCGGUCUGAGAGGAUGAACGGCCACACUGGAACUGAGACACGGUCCAGACUCCUACGGGAGGCAGCAGAC